Molecule: long non-coding RNA, 280 nt
Organism: Myxocyprinus asiaticus (Chinese sucker)
Lineage: Eukaryota; Metazoa; Chordata; Actinopteri; Cypriniformes; Catostomidae
Exons: 3
Source: RefSeq, a predicted model, not a curated record
AGAUCAAAGGAUUGCAGCUGGAAAAUGAUAAUAUGAGUCUUGCAGCUUAAUGAAGAUUGAUUGCGUUGUUGACUCUGUGACUGUCUGAAGCAAGAGCAGAGUUGCUGACUGCCCAGCACUCAGUUUGAGCAAGAACGUUUCAGCACCUAAUGUAUUUGUUCUAAGCAUCUUCCCCACAAGGUUGCCACUGGAAAUGGGUGACAUGAGAAUUGCAUCUUGAUGGAGAGACUGCUGCUUCUGCAUCAUGCACACCCUUUGUUGAGAAGGCACGAGACGGAGG